This is a long non-coding RNA of Silurus meridionalis, 5143 nucleotides long. RefSeq lists it as uncharacterized. The transcript is spliced from 2 exons. The record is from RefSeq and is a predicted model, not a curated record. Lineage: Eukaryota; Metazoa; Chordata; Actinopteri; Siluriformes; Siluridae.
GCCCUUUGAGUUCGUGUUUAUUGGGGAUGACAGCUGUACAGUUUCUGUCUCUCUUGUCUACACAUCACAGUGUCAACAUUAAGGACUGUACAAGAUCAGCUCACACUCCCUCCACACACACACACACACACACACAAAGCAAGCUUCAUUAGGAUAUACACUCUAGCAUUCACUAGUGCCUUUUUACAGACAGGUGUUUAUAGCGGUAAGGAAAAACACACACACACACACACACACACACACACACACACACACAAUGUUAAUAGAAUUUUCCUGAAUGAGAUUUCGACAUGCACAUGAGUCCUUGGAAUAAAUGCUAGUGUAACUGUGGGAAGUACUUUUUUGUAUGACCUGGUGUCCACAACACACACACACACACACACACACACACACACACACACACACACACACACUUCUAUAUGAUACAAUUGCACACACAAACACACUACCUGCACAUCAGUAUAAUGUUGUACACACACAUAUACUAUAAACACACGCAAGAGUAAAAACCCUGUGCGUGUGUGUGUGUAUUAAGAUGAAAAACAAUAUGUUUUAAAUAAUCUCUCUCUCUCUCUCACACACACACAAGCAAGAAUUAUUUGCAUACAAUAUGUAUAUUGAACUAUACGCAUGCGCAGUAUGUGUAGUGUGUAAGUUUAUGCAAGUGUUAUACAGUAUAGACAUAUAGAGACACACAGGUAGUGGAUUUGUGUGCAAGUUUCAUAACCAAAAUACCCCCCCACGCCCGACUGUCAACACAAUGCCCCCUGGUGGACAACCUCGGAUUACAGUUGAUAGCAAAAUCGAACCCGGAUAUUUACGUCACAAUUUGAUUCUGAUCACGUUAUAAAGUCAAUAUGACUCCGAAAUUCUCCACCAAAAUCAUUGUAUCAUUCUGAGAUUAUGAUUUUUAGGAAAUUUGAUGGUUGACUGAACCAAGUGCCAAUGGAAGUGGAAUCCUGGACAGUUUGGUGACAUUUCCUUUGUCAAACAAAUACUCAUUUAAAUAGCUUACAGAAACCAAUAGUUUGGAACCAGCACCAGAAAAUUAUCUGUACUGCCCUGAAAAAAAGCAAAUCACAGUAACUACAACUACAAAAAUCACUACUGACCCUUCACACCCUGAACCCUUCUGGCAGGCGCUACAGAACUUUGUUCACCAAAACACCAGGUACAUGAACAGUUUCUUUCCUCAGUCAGUCCCUCAUCAACAACUGACCUUCAUUAUAUGCCCUGCUUCAUAUCUAUAAGUACUGCAUUAUAAACAGUCACUCAUCACUUCAUCUCUAUAGGUCACACACACUAUUCCUGCUGUAUAUUGUACAAAAGUCUCUUUUUCUAAUGAGACGCACAAUACUGCUAUAUGAACUAACACACUUUCACACUUUAUGUACGUCAUAUACUCUGUAUAUCUUGUUCUUAUUGUCUCAAAUAGUCUGCAUUGUCUUGUAUAGUCUAAGCUCAAUGCAUAGUGUUAUUUAUGUCUGUACUUUUGAGAGUCACCAACAGCUGGAACCAAAGUCCUUGUGUGUGUCAACACACAUGGCCAAUAAACCAGAUUCUGAUUCUGAUCACAGUAGCCAUUAAGUACUACAUUAAAAUGUGCUACUGCCACUGUUUCAGGACCUUAAUAAACUAUAAUCAAUGGUUAUAAUGUAUCGUGUAGUUACUGUGAUUUGCCUUUAUAGGGCACUAUUUGGGGGCUCCAGACACACAGGGUCAUAUGUGUGUGUAUGUGUGUGUGUGUGUGUGUGUGUGUAUGUGCAUGUACAAGGGAAGCGUUUCGACCAUUUAAAUACGUAAUACAAAUCAACAGUGACAAACAAAUCGACCUGGUUUUCUAAAAGCAUUGCAACAAGCGAACGUUGCAGUACAAAGCAGUCUGAACAAAACAAUGUCCCGGCCCGCUCUUGUCACUCCGCCAGAAUUUGUUCGUCGUUAGUCGCAUCGCGGUAAACCGUUCCUGUUAGAUAAAUAUAUGCAUUAAAUCCGUUUCACAUCCAUUCAGAUUACAGAUUUCAGUAGAAACAUUCAACUGAAUUCUGGUUCAAACAAAAAAAAAACACAUUUGCUUUCCACAUAAAUUACAUUUUACAUUUUGUUCAUUUUUAACUCAUAAGAAAAAGAAAAAAAAAAACACGUAAUAUACAUAUAUUCAGUAAUGUGUGUACAGUUUACAAAAACAAAUCCACCUAAACUAUACAUUUAUUUACAGCUGCUAAUUUGGGGCACAUAAAUAUAAGUACAGAAAUAAAAAAUAAAAAGAUACACAAUGAAUCUAGGAAAGCACAAUCGGGACAAAUCAGGCCUCCAGGUUAUUACUGUACAUUAUAUUUUUAAAUGCAUAAUAUUGUUCGAAACUAUUACAGAGCAAAGAGGACAGGAAGGGUUGAUGAAUCUAGCGGAGAAUACAUUAGCAAAAAAUUAUGGGGGAAAAAAAAAGGACAGGACUGAAGAAGUGGUAUUUUACAAUGACGGAGAAUAAAAGGUUAAAGUUCGCUGCCUCACAUUGAUUUUGCCCGAAUGCACAGUGGUGUGGUUAAAAUCUACACUUAUUUACAAUGUAUGUAAUCAGUGUGACUAAUAGUUUAUAUGUGUAACCGGAGAAGCUGACAUCAGCACUUUCCAGUGGUGUAAAUGACUGUCCUAAUGUGAGAUUGGGUGUCAUGACUGACUCAUAACUGACUGACUUACUGGCAUGUGGUAUGGCUGUGUCAUGCGGACUGUCAUGCUAUGAGUCACGCAUAUGACUAUGAGACUGAUUUCUUAUGUUGUGUGUCCUGACUUUUCUGAUGUGGAGACCUAUUGCACCCUACCCUGUGAUAGACAAUAAUAUGCUGCAACUGACCAUCUUGUGGGGUGACUGAGUGUCCUGUAUUAUGACUGAGUGUCCUGUGGGGUGACUGAUGGUCCUGUGGGGUGACUGAGUGUCCUGUAUUAUGACUGAGUGUCCUGUGGGGUGACUGAUGGUCCUGUGGGGUGACUGCUGGUCCUGUGGGGUGACUGACCUAUGGGGUACUGAGUGUCCUGUAGGGUGACUGAGUGUAUUGUGGGGUGACUGAUGGUCCUGUGGGGUGACUGAGUGUACUGUGGGGUGACUGAGUGUCUUGUGGGGCGACUGAGUGUCCUGUGGGGUGACUGAGUGUCCUGUGGGUGACUGAGUGUCCUGUGGUGUGACUGAGUAUCCUGUAUUAUGACUGACUGUACUGUGGGGUGACUGAGUGUCCUGUGGAGUGAUUGAGUGUCCUGUGGGGUGACUGAGUUUACUGUGGUGUGACUGAUGGUCCUGUGGUGUGACUGAGUGUCCUGUUGGGUGACUGACUUGUGCUAUGACUGACUGUUCUUAGGUGUGACUGAUGGUCCUGUGGGGUGACUGAUGGUCCUGUGGGGUGACUGAGUCUCCUGUGGGGUGACUGACUUGUGCUAUGACUGACUGUACUUAGGUGUGACUGACUUUUCUGUGGUGUUACUGAUUGUUGUGUGGUGUGACUGAGUGUCCUGCGCUGUGACUGACUGCCUGGCCGAUUGUCCUGUGUUGUGAGGGACUGCCUGGCCGAUUGUCCUGUGGUGUGACUGACUGCCUGGCCGAUUGUCCUGUUGUGUGAUUGACUGUCAUGUCUCUGUAACUGACUGUACUGUGGUGUGUCUGACUGUCCAGUGUUACGACAGACUGUAGUUAGUUGUGACUGAUUGUCCAGUGGUACAGAUGACUGUCUGGCUGAUUGUCCUGUAAUGGGACUGACUAUUUUGUGCCUGUAACUCACUGUGCUGUGGUUUUAUUAACUGUCAUAUGGUGUGACAGAGUAUACUGCAUUGUGACUGUGUCCUGUGGUAUGUCUGACUAAGUGUCUUUUGGUGAGACGGAUGUCAUAUCCCAUAACAGAUUGUGUGGUAAGUGUGUGGUAAGAAUGCCUGUACUGUGGUGUGACUGAGUGUCCUGUGUUUAUGACCUUCUGUCUGACCAAGUGUCAAAUCAUUUAAAUCUUAAUAAAUCAAUGCGACUUUCUGAGAUUCUUGGGCGUGAACGUAAUUAUGUUUCCUUUAGAUUGAUCUAUUAAAGGAUCGUGAUGUAUUUCUUGAAUUUGAUUUUUUCGGGAGAAGAUUAAAUCAUCUUCAUAUAGUAAAGAGAUGACUCACAUGACAGAUGACACGAAUGUUUUGUCAGUCAGUAGUUUUUCCACCAUGACUUUUGAAAGCCAGAGGCUGUUUUUUAGCUUUCUUUUCCUUAUCAACUUUAAUUGUGAGAGAAGAACAGAGUCUGGUGAGAGAAAAAUUGUUUAUAGCUGCUAUAACGUAAAUGGUAACAGAAACUGAUCUGCCUAUUGGCAUUUCCACAAUAUUUAAUAAAUAAAAAAGUAUGGUUAAUUGUUAGCAUUGACUUGUGUGGUAGAAGUUUCCUCAGGACUUCAGUGUAAUAACAGUAACUCCAUCACACCACCGUGUCAUUGACUAGUUCACUCAUCUGUGAUAUUAUCAUUCGGAGAACAUUUCAAGCAUAGGACCCUUUGCUGUAUAUAUAGAUGGCAUGCAAUUUUCCAAAAAUAUAGAACAAACAUUUAAAUACUAGUUCUUGUUAAGGCAACAAAUAUGAAUUAGGCAAAAUGUUCUGUUUGGUAAGUUCUUCUGACGAAUGUAUAUAGAACAACUUUAUCUGACAUGCAUUAUGUCUCUCUAGUUGACUUCCUCGCGUAAUGUGGUGCAACAUAAACAGCUGGCAAAUUGAAAAGCAAAAAAAAAAACCGCUGUUUUGGCGGAUGAGUUUGCUGAGCACUCAGGAAGCGUCGAAUAAAUAACGUUUAUAACGGCUUCGAGCGAAGGCAGAGGAGCAGAAAUGGCCUGAGUCAGCUACUGCUUGUCGUAGGAAAAGAUGAGCAAAUUCGCUGACACGGGCAAAAAAAGGAAAGAAGGAAGGAGGAACGGACUAAAGAAAGCAGAAGUGGAGAAAGUGCUAUUAGAGGAAGGCACUCUAUAUUUUCCACAGAAAACAACAGACAAGAAAUGAAAUUCCAGUGAAUGUGACAGCAGGUGUUUUUUUGUUUUGUCUUUUUCCUAUUAACCAGUCCAGGCAUCGAGAUUGGCAGACAGGAAUCUAGGACAUGAGCUAAUCUCCCCCCCCUAAGACGAGCCACAAUCUCAAUCUCAA